GGAGUUAGCCGGUGCUUCUUCUGUGAGUGAUGUCCUUCCUGCCGGCUAUUAACCCGCAGGCCUUCUUCCUCACUGAAAGUGCUUUACAACCCGAAGGCCUUCUUCACACACGCGGCAUGGCUGGAUCAGGGUUGCCCCCAUUGUCCAAUAUUCCCCACUGCUGCCUCCCGUAGGAGUCUGGGCCGUGUCUCAGUCCCAGUGUGGCUGAUCAUCCUCUCAGACCAGCUACGGAUCGUCGCCUUGGUGAGCCGUUACCUCACCAACCAGCUAAUCCGACAUAGGCUCAUCCGAUAGCGCGAGGCCCGAAGGUCCCCCGCUUUCCCCCGUAGGGCGUAUGCGGUAUUAGCCUGGGUUUCCCCCAGGUUAUCCCCCACUACCGGGCAGAUUCCUAUGCAUUACUCACCCGUCCGCCGCUCGCCACCAGGGAGCAAGCUCCCCGUGCUUCCGCUCGACUUGCAUGUGUUAGGCCUGCCGCCAGCGUUCAAUCUGAGCCAUGAUCAAAUUCUGA
RNAcentral lists this ribosomal RNA (508 nucleotides) under uncultured bacterium. RNAcentral describes it as "partial 16S ribosomal RNA". The record is from RNAcentral.